Molecule: long non-coding RNA, 208 nt
Organism: Coffea arabica (coffee)
Lineage: Eukaryota; Viridiplantae; Streptophyta; Magnoliopsida; Gentianales; Rubiaceae
Source: RefSeq, a predicted model, not a curated record
AUUACAUCAAGCUAAGAAAGAGGGCUGCUAUCCACGGUUUUCUUGAGCAUCUAAGGGGCCGAAAUUUCUGCCUUCAUCCUCUAAUCAAGCGCUCAAGGGGACCUUCAAGAGGAACUCGAAGUGGACGCCUAGACAUUUGUUUGAGUAUUACUCUCUUGUUGCUAUAGGGUUCGAGACCAAGGGUGCUCGUGAGUAGUACUAGAUUGUU